ACACAUGUUACUUGGGAAUCUUAUUAAAAUACAGAUCCUGACUCAUUGAAAUCUGUGUUAAGGCCUGAGAUUCUGCACUUCUAACAAGUUCCCAGGUGAUGCUGAU
RNAcentral lists this microRNA precursor (106 nucleotides) under Marmota monax (woodchuck). The record is from RNAcentral. Lineage: Eukaryota; Metazoa; Chordata; Mammalia; Rodentia; Sciuridae.